RNAcentral lists this unclassified non-coding RNA (214 nucleotides) under Sistotrema brinkmannii. RNAcentral describes it as "partial internal transcribed spacer 2". Lineage: Eukaryota; Fungi; Basidiomycota; Agaricomycetes; Cantharellales; Hydnaceae. The record is from RNAcentral.
AACUCUCAAGCUAGAUGCUUUAGUGUCAUCUGCUUGGUUAUUGGACUCUGCUGUCUCCUUGUCUGGAACGGCUGGUCUCAAAUGUAUUAGCUGGCUCUUGUUGUGGGAAUUGGUUCUACUCAGCGUGAUAAUCUAUGACCGCUGAGGACAUCUCUCGGGAUGGCCAAGCCUGCCUUGAACUGCUUCUAACUCAUCAUUUCAUGAUAUUUUUCAA